GACAGAGGAGCCAAGCGUUGUCCGGAUUGACUGGGCGUAAAGCGCACGCAGGCGGCCGUGCACGUGGGGUGUGAAAGCUGGCGGCUUAACUGCCAGACGCCACCUCAUACGGCACGGCUCGAGCCCGUGAGAGGUCCACGGAAUUGCCGGUGUAGUGGUGAAAUGUGUUGAUAUUGGAAGGAACACCGGAGGCGAAAGCGGUGUACUGGGGCUGGUCUGACGCUGAGGCACGAAAGCCAGGGGAGCGAACGGG
RNAcentral lists this ribosomal RNA (253 nucleotides) under uncultured bacterium. RNAcentral's name for it is "partial 16S ribosomal RNA". It matches the Rfam family "Bacterial small subunit ribosomal RNA", at positions 524 to 776 of the family's 1533-position model. The record is from RNAcentral.